UGUGUGUUUGCAUAUGUGUGUAAGGGAUGCAUUGUGUGUUUCUGUGUAUGUGUGCAAAGGAUGCAUUGUCUUUAUGUCUAAGGGUUGCAUUGUGUGUUUCUCUGUGUGUAAGGGAAGCAUGUUGUGUUUCUGUGUGUAUAGGGAUGCAUUGUGUGUGUGCGCGUGGUGUGAAAGAGCUCCCUGUCCUGCCCCCUGUCCUAUAGAGCUCUCCCUUAGAGAUCUCCC
This is a non-coding RNA of Pelobates cultripes (western spadefoot toad), 225 nucleotides long. The record is from the annotation of a GenBank genome assembly. NCBI's taxonomy places the organism in Eukaryota, Metazoa, Chordata, Amphibia, Anura, Pelobatidae.